CUAGUAACGGCGAGUGAAGCGGGAAGAGCUCAAAUUUGAAAUCUGGCAGUCUUCGAUUGUCCGAGUUGUAAUCUAUAGAGGCGUUUUCCGUGCCGGACCGUGUCCAAGUCUCCUGGAAAGGAGUAUCAAAGAGGGUGAUAAUCCCGUACUUAACACGACCACCGGUGCUCUGUGAUACGUCUUCUACGAGUCGAGUUGUUUGGGAAUGCAGCUCAAAAUGGGUGGUGAAUUCCAUCUAAAGCUAAAUAUUGGCGAGAGACCGAUAGCGAACAAGUACCGUGAGGGAAAGAUGAAAAGCACUUUGGAAAGAGAGUUAAACAGUACGUGAAAUUGUUGAAAGGGAAACGAUUGAAGUCAGUCGUGUUCUUUGGAUUCAGCCAGUUCUGCUGGUCUACUUCCUUGGAACGGGUCAACAUCAGUUUUGUCCGGUGGAUAAAGGUAGUAGGAAUGUGACUUCUCCGGAAGUGUUAUAGCCUAUUAUCACAUACACUGGGUGAGACUGAGGACUGCAGCUCGCCUUUAUGGCCGGCUU
Molecule: ribosomal RNA, 532 nt
Filed under: Trichosporon asahii var. asahii
Lineage: Eukaryota; Fungi; Basidiomycota; Tremellomycetes; Trichosporonales; Trichosporonaceae
Description: LSU rRNA
Rfam family: Eukaryotic large subunit ribosomal RNA
Source: RNAcentral